UUUAUUGAAGAGACUGUCUUUUCUCCAUUGUAUGUUCUUGGCACCUUUGUCGAAGAUUAGCUGUCCGUAGAUGUACAGUUUUAUUUCUAGGCUUUCAGUUCUGUUCCGUUGAUCUGUGUGCCUGUUUUUGUCCCAGUACCAUGCUGUUUUGAUCACUAUGGCUUUGUAACACAUUAUGAAGUCAGGGAUUGUGAUGCCUCCAGCUUUGUUCUUUUUUGUCAGGAUUGCAUUAGCAAUUCGGGGUCUUUGGUUGCCCCACAUGAAUUUUAGGAUUCUUUGUUCUAUUUCCAUGAAGAAUGUCAUUGGGAUUCUGAUUGCGAUUGCACUGAACCUGUAGAUUGCUUUGGUCAGUAUGAACAUUUUAACUAUGUUUAUUCUUCCAGUCCACGUGCAUGGAAUCUCUUUCCAUCUCUUUACGUCAUUGUCUAUAUCUUUCAAUAAUGUCUUACAGUUUUCAUUGUAUAAGUCCUUUGCCUCCUUAGUCAAAUUUAUUCCUAGGUAUUUUAUUCUUUUUGUUGUGAUUGUAAAAUGAAUGUAUUCUUGAGUUCUCUUUCUGUAAGUUCGUUAUUAAAGUAUAGAAAAGCAACUGAUUUUUGUAAAUUGAUUUUGUACCCUGCAACUUUACUGUAGUUGCUAAUUAUUUCUAAUAGUUUUCCAAUGGAUUCUUUAGAGAUUUCUAUAUAUAAGAUCAUGUCGUCUGCAAACAAUGAGAGUUUCACUUCUUCACUCCCUAUUUGGAUUUCUUUUAUUCCUUUCUCUUGCCUAAUUGCUCUGGCCAAAACCUCCAUAAGAGUGGUGAUAGAGGACAUCCUUGUCCUGUUCCUGUUCUCAGGGGGAUGGGGUUCAGUUUUUCCCCAUUGAGUAUAAUGUGGGCUGUGGGUUUCUCAUAAAUGGCCUCUAUUAUGUUGAGAUAGAUUCCUUCUAUCUACAUUUUCUUAAGGGUUUUUAUCAUAAAUGGCUAUUGGAUCUUGUCAAAUGCUUUCUCUGCAUCUAUUGAGAUGAUCAUGUGGUUUUUAUUCCUCAUUUUGUUAAUAUGGUGUAUCACAUUGAUUGAUUUGCGGAUGUUGAACCAUCCCUGUGUCCCUGGUAUGAAUCCCACUUGAUCAUGAUCCUUUUGAUAUAUUCCUGUAUUCGGAUUGCCAAUAUUUUGUUGAGGAUUUUUGCAUUUAUGUUUAUCAGCGAUAUUGGCCUGUAGUUUUCCUUUUUGUGUUGUCCUUGUCAGGCUUUGGUAUCAGAGUGAUGUUGACCUUGUAGAAUGUGUUAGAAAGUGUUCCAUCUUCCCUAACUUUUUGGAAUAGCUUGAGAAGGAUAGGUAUUAAAUCCUCUGUGAAAGUUUGGUAGAAUUCCCCAGGGAAGCCAUCUGGUCCUGGGCUUUUCUUCUCUGGGAUGCUUUUGAUUACUGUUUCAAUCUCUUUCCUUGUGAUUGGUCUAUUCAGAUUAUCUAUUUCUUCUUGAUUCAGCUUUGGGAGGUUGUAAGAGUCUAAGAAUUUAUCCAUUUCUUCUAGAUUAUCCAUUUUGUUGGCAUAUAGUUUUUCAUAGUAUUCUCUUAUAAUCUGUUGUAUUUCUGUGGUAUCCAUUGUUAUUUCUCCUCUUUCAUUUCUUAUUUUAUUUAUCUGAGCUUUCUCUCUUUUUUCUUUGUAAGUCUGGCUAGGGAUUUGUCAAUUUUAUUUAUCUUCUCAAAGAACCAGCUCUUUGUUUCAUUGAUCCUUUCUAUUGCCUUUUUUGUUUCAAUAGCAUUAAUUUCUGCUCUGAUUUUUAUUAUUUCUCUCCUUCUGCUGACUUUGGGCUUUGUUUGUUCUUCUUUUUCUAAUUCAGUUAGGUGUAGUUUGAGAUUGCUUAUUUGGGUUUUUUCUUGUUUGUUAAGGUGAGCCUGUAUUGUCAUUAAUUUCCCUCUUAAUAAGGCUUUUGCUGCAUCCCAUAUGAGUUGGUAUGGUAUGUUUUCAUUUUCAUUUGUCUUCAGAUAUUUUUGUAUUUCUCCUUUAAUAGUGAGUAUUUAAUGUCUUCAAUGAUCCAUUGCUCAUUCAAUAGCAUGUUGUUUAGUCUCCAAAUCUUUGUCCUUUUCUCAGCUCUUUUCUUGUAAUUAAUUUCUAGCUUUAUAGCAUUGUGAUCAGGAAAGAUGCUCGUUAUUAUUUCAAUCUUCUUAAAUUUAUUGAGGCCUGCCUUGUUUCCCAACAUAUGGUCUGUUCUUGAGAACGUUCCAUGAGUACUUGAGAAGAAUGUGUAUUCUGCUGUUUUUGGAUGGAGUGUUCUAUAUAUGUCUGUUAAGCCCAUCUGGUCUAGGUUUUCAUUUAAUUCCACUGUUUCCUUGUUGAUUUUCUGUUUGGAUGAUCUAUCCAUUGAUGUAAAUGAAGUGUUGAGGUCCCCUACUAUUAUUGUGUUAUUAUUAAUGUCUCCUUUUAGGCUUGUUAAUAGUUGCUUUAUGUACUUUGGUGCUCCUGUGUUGGGUGCAUAGAUACUUAUAAGUGUUACUUCUUCUUGUUGGACUGUCCCUUUGAUCAUUAUAUACUGCUCCUGUUUGUCUCUCUUUACCUGUCUUAUCUUGAAGUCUACUUUGUCUGAUAUAAGUAUUGCAACACCUGCUUUCUUUUGUCUGCCAUUAGCUUGCAGUAUCAUCUUCCAUCCCUUCACUCUCAGCCUGUGUUUAUCAUUGGCGCUGAGAUGUGUUUCCUGGAGGCAGCAUGUUGUUGGGUCUUGUUCUUCAAUCCAUCUCUCCACUCUGUCUUUUUAUUGGAGAAUUCAAUCCAUUUACGUUUAGUGUGAUUAUCGAUAUAUGAGGGCUUAAUGCUGCCCUUUUAUCACUCGUUUUCCAGUUCUCUUGCAUUUCCUUUGUUUCUCGUCCUGUGUAUUUUGGUCUACCAAUCGAGUUAUGUAGUUUUUAACAUGUUUAUUUGUUUUCUUCUUAUUUAUUAUUCGUGUUUCUGUUCUGCUUUUUUUGUUUAGUGGUUACCCUGAGGUUUGUAUUCAAGAUCUCGCGGAUAAGAAAGUCCCUUUUCUGAUGGUCUCUAAUUUCCUUAGACUAAACUGAUUCAGUCCCUUUCCUCUUCUGCUCCUAAGUUGUUUUUCUCACAUAUUAUUCCAUCUUGUGUUAUGAGUUUGUGGUUAAAAUGACGAGAUUAUCUUUGUUUUUGAUUUUUUCCUUCCCUUUGUCUUUAAUGCUAUACAUGAGUAUUUGCUAUCCUGCUCUGAUUCUGUCUGUCUAUUUAACUCCUAACUCCACACUUUGUAACUCUUUUCUCCCUUUUUUUUUUCUGGUAUGACGUCCUUCUUGAGGAUUUCUCGUAGUGGGGGUCUUGUGGCAACAAACUAACUCCCUUAACUUAUGCUUGUCUGGGAAAGUUUUUAUUUCUCCAUCAUACCUGAAGGAUAUUUUCACUGGAUAGAGUAUUCUUGGCUGAAAGUUUUUGUCCUUCAAUGAUUUGAAUAUGUCAUUCCAGCCUCUCCCAGCCUGUAAGCUUUCUGCAGAGAAAUCUGUUGAAAGCCUGAUGGCAGUUCCUUUGUAGGUUAUUUUCUUCUGCCUUGCUGCCCUUAAUAUUUUUUCUUUGUCAUUGACUUUUGCCAGUUUU
Equus caballus (horse) is the source of this 3563-nucleotide long non-coding RNA. The record is from Ensembl. NCBI's taxonomy places the organism in Eukaryota, Metazoa, Chordata, Mammalia, Perissodactyla, Equidae.